Molecule: ribosomal RNA, 301 nt
Filed under: uncultured bacterium
Lineage: Bacteria
Description: partial 16S ribosomal RNA
Rfam family: Bacterial small subunit ribosomal RNA
Source: RNAcentral
CAGUCGCCACGGUAAUACGUAGGGUGCGAGCGUUAAUCGGAAUUACUGGGCGUAAAGCGUGCGCAGGCGGUUGUGUAAGACAGGUGUGAAAUCCCCGGGCUUAACCUGGGAACUGCGCUUGUGACUGCACAGCUAGAGUAUGGCAGAGGGGGGUGGAAUUCCACGUGUAGCAGUGAAAUGCGUAGAGAUGUGGAGGAACACCGAUGGCGAAGGCAGCCCCCUGGGCCAAUACUGACGCUCAUGCACGAAAGCGUGGGGAGCAAACAGGAUUAGAUACCCGAGUAGUCCCUGUCUCUUAUAA